GGGCCGAGCUCGGCUGUUUCCGUACGCGGCCGCUGCGCACUCGGCACUGGGCGGCGCUGGCUGGCUCCCUGGCUGCGAGUCCUCAGUCGGCGGCGGCUGCUGCUGCCUGUGGCCCGGGCGGCUGGGAGAAGCGGAGUGUUGGUGAGUGACGCGGCGGAGGUGUAGUUUGACGCGGUGUGUUACGUGGGGGAGAGAAUAAAACUCCAGCGAGAUCCGGGCCGCGAACGAAAGCAGUGACGGAGGAGCUUGUACCACCGGUAACUAAAUGACCAUGGAAUCUGGAGCAGAGAACCAGCAGAGUGGAGAUGCAGCUGUAACAGAAGCUGAAAACCAGCAAAUGACAGUGCAAGCCCAGCCACAGAUUGCCACAUUAGCCCAGGUAUCCAUGCCAGCAGCUCACGCAACAUCAUCUGCUCCCACCGUAACUUUAGUACAGCUGCCCAAUGGGCAGACAGUUCAAGUCCAUGGAGUUAUUCAGGCGGCCCAGCCAUCAGUUAUUCAGUCUCCACAAGUCCAGACAGUUCAGUCUUCCUGUAAGGACUUAAAAAGACUUUUCUCCGGAACUCAGAUUUCAACUAUUGCAGAAAGUGAAGAUUCACAGGAGUCAGUAGAUAGUGUAACUGAUUCCCAAAAACGAAGAGAAAUUCUUUCAAGGAGGCCUUCCUACAGGAAAAUUUUGAAUGACUUAUCUUCUGAUGCACCAGGAGUGCCAAGGAUUGAAGAAGAGAAGUCGGAAGAGGAGACUUCAGCACCUGCCAUCACCACUGUAACGGUGCCAACUCCAAUUUACCAAACUAGCAGUGGACAGUAUAUUGCCAUUACCCAGGGAGGAGCAAUACAGCUGGCUAACAAUGGUACCGAUGGGGUACAGGGCCUGCAAACGUUAACCAUGACCAAUGCAGCUGCCACACAGCCGGGUACUACCAUUCUACAGUAUGCACAGACCACUGAUGGACAGCAGAUCUUAGUGCCCAGCAACCAAGUUGUUGUUCAAGCUGCCUCUGGAGAUGUACAAACAUACCAGAUUCGCACAGCGCCCACUAGCACCAUUGCCCCUGGAGUUGUUAUGGCGUCCUCCCCAGCACUUCCUACGCAGCCGGCCGAAGAAGCAGCACGAAAGAGAGAGGUUCGCCUAAUGAAGAACAGGGAAGCAGCACGAGAAUGUCGUAGAAAGAAGAAAGAAUAUGUGAAAUGUUUAGAAAACAGAGUGGCAGUGCUUGAAAACCAAAACAAGACAUUGAUUGAGGAGCUAAAAGCACUUAAGGACCUUUACUGCCACAAAUCAGAUUAAUUUGGGAUUUAAAUUUUCACCUGUUAUGGUGGGAAAAGGACUGGCAUGGCCACAACCAGAAAGACAAAAUAAACAUUUUAUUUUCUAAACAUUUCUUUUUUUCUAUGCGCAAAACUGCCUGAAAGCAGCUACAGAAUUUCAUUCAUUUGUGCUUUUGCAUUAAACUGUGAAUGCUCCAACACCUGCCUCCACUUCUCCCCUCAAGAAAUUAUCAGCACCAGGAAUCAUGAAGAGACUUCUGCUUUUUAUCCCCCACCCUCUUCAAGAAGUAAUAAUUUGUUUACUUGUAAAUUGAUGGGGGAAAUGAGGAAAAGAAAAUCUUUUUUUUUUUUUUUUUUUUUUUUUUUUAAUGAUUUCAAGGUUUGUGCUGAGCUCCUUGAUUGCCUUAGGGACAGAAUUACCCCAGCCUCCUGAGCUGAAGUAAUGUGUGGGCCACAUGCAUAAAGAUGAACAGAGUUUAUGAAGGAACAUCAUUCUAAGAAUUGAGUGAUGUAGUCUUAUAUUUGGACAGUUCACCAGAUUCUCAAGAAGGCUUUCAAAUGACUGUAAAGUUUGUUGUUUAUCCUGCUGAGCUAAUGGGGAAAGUUAUAGCAUAAAAGUUAUUUGUAUACCAGCGUAGAUAUAUCAUUUUCCAAAACUGGUUUAACAGAAACCAAUCAAAAAAUCAUAAAUCUAUUCACAAACUUAGAAUACUUUCUUAAUGAAUUAAAAUGUCAAAACUGGACAUUUUGAAAGUCAUAAGCUUUAUAUAAAUGAAAAUUGCCUAGUAUUUAGCAAUUCAGUGUUUUUCAAAAGUUGAGGCUUUCUGUUUAAUUAGAAAGUUGGUGGUCCUCUUAGUCCCUGAUAAGUCAAGGCAGUCACAUCCAUUUUAACUGGUUGGAUUUGUAAGUUAUCAAGACCAGGUCCUUUGUACCUUAAGGAUGAUUGCACUGGUUUGAAGUCAGUUGCUUAAUGCUGAGGUAAUAUAUUCUGUUGCUGAAUCUGUUUAGACCCUUGAAGAGACUUGAAGAUUUCAGUUUAUACAGGUAGAAGAAAUUAAGCAUCUUUUGUGCAGACUUUUUUUAAUGAGAAUUGGGGUGGGGGGGUGUUUGUUUUUAAGCAUGCAGCUUUGAGAAUCUUUAUUAAGAAAAUAACAAUUUAAAAAAAAAUCUUAUAGCCAAGAAUAUAUGUGGCCACAUUAUAAAUGCUUUUUUCUCUUCAUAUUGGCCAAAAGGGAAUAAAAAUGUCAUCAUAGGAAUCUGUAUAUAUGCUACUGAUUUGCCUAGAAAAUAGCAAGUUUGGUAUUGCUCACUUUGCAAAUAUAGGGCCAUGUGGCACUUUUAUCUAUAGGACAGAUUAACUCUAAUAAAAAUGAAGUGGGAGGGAUUUAUUUUUGAUAUAUUGCUCUUAUGAGUUUUCAAGCUUUGAUAGUGUUUAACUGAAAAGUGGCUUAGAAAGGGCUAGAUCCAAUGUAUUGACAUUAGAAAAAACUGGUAUCAGAUGUAAUUUUUAAGUUCAUUCUUUCUCAAACUCAAGUACCAUAUUGGCAACCAUAAUAUUGUCAUAGGUGCUCUGUUCGUUUAGAUAUUCUUGCGGGGGGGAGGUGGCAUUUGUAUAAUAUAUGUGUACAUAUAUAUAUAUACAUACAGUAUAUAAUCUGAAGCUCUGAGAGCUCUUACGUCAGGAAUGCUGAGUAUUAUAGUAUAUUGAGGUCAGAUGAAAUUUUACAUUUUUGCGUGUUCUGUUGCAUCCCUUUUGGUAGUUCCUUGGACUGCAUUACUCCAACACUCAUGAUUGAUUUUUUUUAUCUCCUAAUUUCCUUCCAGGUUAUUUCUUUUAUUGUUGAUUUUCUUUGGCUUGAUACUUUUAGAUUUUAGUCACUCGAGCGCCCCCUUUCCCCCAAAGUAUUUGGUUUUUGUGCUUUGUCUCUGGCAGCUAUGUAACAGUGGUGAGAACACUUUGAAGACAGCUUCUAAAAGGUACCACUGAUUUUUCACAAAUCAUCCUGGGGGAGAAAUUUUGGUGUUUUUAUUUGAGCAGGGAUUUUUGUCAGAAAAUGUGUUUUGAUGGUAAGUCAGCAGCAGUGCUAGUAUCUGAAAGCACAAUACCAGUCAGGCAGGCUAUCCGAUCAGAAGUCAUCUGGCUGAAGUUUAUCUCUGUCUCUCAGGCCUAAUCCCUACUAUCAUUUUGACCAUUUUGGGGUGACAUGUGGAAUCAUACAAAGGCUUAGGAAGAAACAAGUUUAUUUAAACCAGGAUGCUUUUACUUACUUGAAGUAACGUCAAUCUAGGUUUCUUCUUUCAUUUCUAGUAUGUUUUUAAUUCUGUAAUCAGCUGCAAUCAGCUGUUAGCAUAAAUUGGUCUCUUUAUUUUGAAGAUCAAAAAGCUGCUUCAUUUUGCAGGAUUAAAAUAAAGGCUAAUAUCUUAAAGUUAAGAUUUUGAAUUAAAAUGGGUUUUAGAGACAAUUGUUAAACACCUUUUCAGUUUUUCCAAGAGGCUUUAUUUGUUGCCUUUAUACCCUGAAAACUGUUGGUAUAUUGUUUCCCAUUGACUUAUUACAAAAGUUGUAUAUUUAUUUGGAUUAUAUUUACAUUAUGUAUUUUGUAAAUGUUUGGUGUAACUUGCACUUUUAAAAACAACCCAGUUUGGGUAUUAGCAAACUUGAGAAAUUCCCUCACCAAUUAAUUGUCAUCUGACUUUUUACAUCUUUUCUCCUCUCGUCAAAUCAUGUGGCUUUUUUAUGGAAGCCUUUCAUUGAUUAAAAUAUUUUAGCACCUACAGGCUAGCCUUAUAAACAGCUAUAAAAGAAAAAUAUCAGGAAAUUAAAUUUGACUAGCUCAAUUAAUUAAAAGAUGGGUUCAAACCCUAUCUCACUCAUUUUCAUCAUGGAUAAAGAUAGAAGGAAAAGCAACUCUCAAGUGAAUAAAUAUUUAUUUCCAAUUUUAAAUGAGACUCUGUCCUCACCCCAACAUUAAUACUGUUUAUAGAAUCCCAAGAUAUCCAUGAAUUUGUCUAAAACAGUAAAAGAUUUUUCAAGGCAAUUAAUUAUUAUCAUCAUGAAGAACACAUUUGACUAAGUUUUUUCACUUUAAAUUGGCAUUGUUAACGUCAAAGAAAUGCUACUGAAAUCUGACUGAUUUCAGAUGAGAUGGGGAAAGUGAAGUGAGUAAGCCUGUGGGUGAAGAAUUGUGGGAUAAACUUGUUCACUCAGUUGUACAAAGCACAACUAGAAUUUUUUGUUGGAUGGCUUACAUGUAUCUUGAAUACUUUUAAUGUUGAUAUGUUGACUUUUUUAAGUUGACUGCACAGUCGCUGUAUGUACUAGGAACUGGUUUCCUUGACUUUCAAGAAUCAAUGGCUAAGAGAGGCACUAAUCCCUGAGGGGUCGAACAUAUCAUGAAGCUGAGUCAGUAUGGAAGACUUUCAAAUAAAUCAAACAGGGUGCUGAAGUUCCAUCUGUCUCAUCUGCUUGUGGUAAGUUCUUACUGAUUAGUGAAUGUAGCUUAAGCCUUUGUAUGUGUCCUCAGGGGACAGACAAACUUUUAAGAGGGACCAGAUAACGUUUGAAUGGAGGGAUUAUAUUUCAGGUGUUUUAGCUUGAAAUUUAUUUUUUAAAAAAAUAAAAAUAGAAAAAAAUAGAACAAAGCCUGUGAAGCAAGUUGAUAUUAUAAACAGGCAGAGUUGUUUAGCACAGAGAGAAAAUAUUGACCUGUCUGCAUUCUGGUACUGUGCAUACAGGUCCUAGCUGGGUAAAACAGGAUACAUUUUGAAUUCUCACCAGCAAGUAAAAGGAAAAUGAACAGUCUUCAGGAAAUGCCCUUGAAAGGGUCAAAACAGUAGGAAAUUCACAUUUUACCUACUUUAUACAGGCAUUAUAUAAUACUUGCCUACAGAAGUAUGGCAUUUCCAAGCUUCUGUCUGAGGAGCAUCUCAGAGAUGUGAGUGAAUCUGAGAUGGUUUAAACAUUGGUAGGGAAGGAAGAAGAUCCCUGCAGAUAAUGAUCUUAUGUUUGUUGGCCAAGUGAAAUGGUCUUGCAUUGUGUUGGGAGCUUUUAUUUUCUUAAGUUUUUAAAGUUCAAUUGGUAAAUAAAUGCUUUAUAGACAUUGUAUUUUUAUCCAGGUGCCACUCCAAUUUGUAUACGUAAUAAAAUUACUUAUAUUAAAAGUGGGAAAUAAUUUGUCAACAUUUUUCCGUGAGUAUAGAUUAGGGUGGCAAGGAAGAGUGCUAAUUCAUAGUUUUCCAUGUAAAGUCAUCCCCAACUGAUUUGUCACAUGUCAGCUGUCAUCCCCGCCCAAUAAAGGAAUUAUUUCUAACCUAACUCUAUCACUUGAAACUUUUUAGAAACAAAAUAAUCAGGGAAGCUUCUAGAGAGAAAGGUGUUUGGGUUUUUCGUUUUGGUUUUUUGGUUUUUCCUUGAGGAUUGGGGUAAAGAAUACCUCCCCCCAAAACUGUCAGCACAAAACAGGGUAUUUAUUGACUUUUAACUCUGAUGCUGCUAUUGGAGUUGAAUACUAAAUCAAUAACUAUAGUGAGGGAAAUACAUUUCUAAUAAAAUUCCCUACAUUCUAGAAACAUCCCUGUUUUAAUUUUUUUACCUAAAUCUUCUUGUGCUUUAUCUGUGUAAAGAGAAAAAAUGUACUGAGUUAUAAUUCAUUUUAUUAACACUAUGUACAUAUUAGCUGCUUUGUGUUCAGAAUGGUAGCAAUUGCUUUGUAUAUUAAAGUGAUCCUUGUGAAUUUGUGAAAUAUUGUCAUAAAGUGCUUUUUCUUACUGUACUCUUUGUGGUAUCAACUGUCAUAAUGCCCUUUUUACACAAACAUUUAUGUGCAGACACAUAAACAUGCUUUAAAAAACUUUGUAAGUCUCUUUUUUGGGGAUGGGAUCUCUGUUUUGAUCUUUUCUGGUCAUGUUAAGCUAUGUUUUGUGGACUUGGGUUUAUUUUGUUAAAGAGCAAAAGUUAUAUUAGAAUAUAUCAUAAACUUGUGCUUCACAGGAACAGAAAACCAAUUCAAGCAACAAGAAUAUAUCUUCAGUUACUGAAUUUUACUGUAUUUCUAGUUUUUAGCACAAGAUUUCUUUUUUCAGUAAAGUUGAACAGUGCCUAUUUGAAGAUUUGGAGAUAUUACUGCACUGUUGAGACAACCAUUAGGAGACAUGGCCAGCUGUCUCUGAUGUCAUAAAAUGCAUGUUUGCACUGGAAGAACGUUAAAAACAGAUGACUUCUUAGAUCCCCUUGUAAUUCUAAAGUUCUGUGAUCAUAUAAAAUGGAAGGAAAGGGGAGGAGUGUGAUUAAUCUGCUCUUUGCUUAAAGCACAAGAAUAAAAAUUCCUCUCCUGUACUAUUGAUUUAAUUUCUGGAAGUAAGUGGUUGCAAUCUAAAGUACUUUUUUUUAAAUUGCCAUGAUGUUAAGCUUGUUACACCUGCCAUUGUAUUGAAGGAAUUAGAUGAGUUCUGUUCCCUUUUUUUCUUCUACAAGGAGUGGCCACAUAAUUUUUUGUACAGACAUUUUUGAGAGUGAAAGAUGAUAUUACACAGGGACAACAGGUGUACACCAGGAUCGUGCUAAGCAGAUCAGGACCUCCCUGUAAGGCAUGUUCAGGUGCUUGGACCUCCAGUAAAAACAGAGGGUCUUAUCUUCUCUCCAUCUGUACCUUUGCUGUCACUUGCUCACUUCACACAUACUUGCUGAGAACACACUUCUGGGUACUGAAAAGUCCCUGUUUUCAAGAAGCUCUAAGACACGGCCAAGGAAACAAUUCCAACAUGUUUGUACCAUUUUAGUCCUGAGCUCCAGACCCGUAUUUGUCAUUUCUAGUCCAACUGCAAAACAGGUCUAAAACAACUUAGUUUCUCCUCUAAAUCUCUUCCUUCAGCUGAUUCUCUUCCAUCUUGUAGAUACCAUUAUCCACUGAACUGGUCAAGGCAAAAACCCAGAAAAGUGCUGCUUUAAUCAGUGUUAUCCUUCCUCUCGUCAUGCAUUUUGAUUUCUCCACAACUUUUAAGCACAUUGACCAAACUAGGGCUUAGAAUUCUAGUGUGGGCCUAACAAAGAGGAAAGGUAAUUCCCAAGAGUUUGAAUGUUACUUCUGUUUUUUGAUAGAGGUGCAAUUAGCAUAACAAAAUUUAUCAUUUUAAAGUGAACACUUCAGCGGCAUUUAGUGCAUUCAUAAUGUUGUAUGACUACCACCCAUAUCUAGUUCCAAAACAUUUUUGUUACUCCAAAAUAAAAGAGUUGCUCUCAAUUUUCCCCUCCCUCCAGCACCUGUCAGCCAUCAAUCUGCUUUCUGUUUCUGUAGAUUUACCCAUUCUGGAUAUGUCACAUAAUUGUACAAUGUGUGACAUUUUGAGUCUGGUUCCUUUCAGUUAACAAUGUUUUUGAGGUUCCUCCACACUAGCAUUUAUCAGUACUCCAUUCCUUUUUAUGGCUAGAUAAUAUUCCAAUGUAUGUAUAUGCCAGUUUGUUACCUGCUCAUCUGUUCAUGGGCAUUUGGGUUGUUCCCACUUUGGGGCUAUUGUAAAUAGUGCUGUGGACAUUCAUGUGCCAGUGUUUGAGUCAUACUGAGCAUCUUUUCAUGAGUUUCUUGGCCAUUUGUAUAUCUUCUUUGAGAGAAAUGUCCAAGUUCAUUGCUCAUUGUUAAUGGUUUUGUUUGUUUUUUGAGUUCCUCAUAUAUUCUGGAUACUAGACCCUUACUAGAUAAUAUAAUUUACAAAUAUUUUCUCCCAUUCUGUACAUUUUCUUUUCACUUUCAUGAUAAUAUCCUCAUUCUUAUUUUUUUAACUUGGUACAUUUGGGGAAAAACAACUACAAAAUGGGCAGGCCAUAAAAAAUGCAGUUUAUGUGUCCUUUUACUGUCAGUCUGCAUAUGUGCGCAAAUGCAAUGUAUAUUCUCUACUCCCUUUUUUACAUAAAUGGUGCUUUUAUUCACUGAA
This is an RNA transcript of Camelus dromedarius (Arabian camel), 8199 nucleotides long. It is a transcript of the gene named cAMP responsive element binding protein 1, with no coding region annotated. The record is from RefSeq and is a predicted model, not a curated record. The transcript has 10 exons. Lineage: Eukaryota; Metazoa; Chordata; Mammalia; Artiodactyla; Camelidae.